GUUUUACCAUGCAGCUAGAACCACAUAAAAUCUGCCUUGUAAAAGGCAAAUAAGGAGUAUCUUUAUCGUAGACAAACAGUUGCUCAAGUUAUGAAAUAAAAUUAAUUUUAUAAAAAACAUUAUUUUGAGAUAAGCAUUACAUAAGAAUCUUUACCAAGGUUUUGAGCUGAGCAUCUAGGCAAAGCGAAGUCUCAAUUCUGGCAAAUAUA
This 209-nucleotide unclassified non-coding RNA is filed under the name Hevea brasiliensis (rubber tree). Lineage: Eukaryota; Viridiplantae; Streptophyta; Magnoliopsida; Malpighiales; Euphorbiaceae. The record is from RNAcentral.